This 253-nucleotide ribosomal RNA is filed under the name uncultured bacterium. RNAcentral's name for it is "partial 16S ribosomal RNA". It matches the Rfam family "Bacterial small subunit ribosomal RNA", at positions 524 to 776 of the family's 1533-position model. The record is from RNAcentral.
UACAGAGGUGGCAAGCGUUGUUCGGAAUUACUGGGCGUAAAGGGCGCGUAGGCGGUCCCGUCAGUCCCUUGUGAAAUCCCCCGGCUCAACUGGGGAACUGCAAGGGAUACAGCGGGGCUUGAGUUCGGGAGAGGGAAGCGGAAUUCCGGGUGUAGCGGUGAAAUGCGUAGAUAUCUGGAGGAACACCGGUGGCGAAGGCGGCAUCCUGGACCGGUAUUGACGCUGAGGCGCGAAAGCCAGGGGAGCAAACGGG